AGGACGAACGCUGGCGGCGUGCCUAACACACGCAAGUCGAGCGAGGAGAUCCUCGGGAUGAUCCUAGCGGCGGACGGGUGAGUAACACGUGGGCAACCUGCCUCAUAGAGAGGAAUAGCCUUCCGAAAGGGAGAUUAAUACCUCAUAACAUUGCAGUUUCGCAUGGAACAGCAAUUAAAGGAGUAAUCCGCUAUGAGAUGGGCCCGCGGCGCAUUAGCUAGUUGGUGAGGUAACGGCUCACCAAGGCGACGAUGCGUAGCCGACCUGAGAGGGUGAUCGGCCACAUUGGGACUGAGACACGGCCCAGACUCCUACGGGAGGCAGCAGUGGGGAAUAUUGCACAAUGGGGGAAACCCUGAUGCAAGCAACGCCGCGUGAGUGAUGACGGCCUUCGGGUUGUAAAGCUCUGUCUUCAGGGACGAUAAUGACGGUACCUGAGGAGGAAGCCACGGCUAACUACGUGCCAGCCGCUGC
Molecule: ribosomal RNA, 474 nt
Filed under: uncultured bacterium
Lineage: Bacteria
Description: bacterial SSU rRNA
Rfam family: Bacterial small subunit ribosomal RNA
Source: RNAcentral